GGGCGGUACAUCGGUAAAAGGAUAACGCAGGUGUCCCAAGGUAAGCUCAAGGAGAACAGAAAUCUCAUGUGGAUCAGAAGGGGAAAUGCUUGCUUGAUUUUGCUUUUCAGUGUGAAGACAAACUGUGCAAACAUGGCCUAUCGAUCCUUUGGGUCUGAGGGAUGUUCAGCUAGAGGUGUCAGAAAAGUUACCACAGGG
Molecule: ribosomal RNA, 198 nt
Filed under: Schizochytrium aggregatum
Lineage: Eukaryota; Bigyra; Thraustochytrida; Thraustochytriidae
Description: partial Eukaryotic large subunit ribosomal RNA
Rfam family: Eukaryotic large subunit ribosomal RNA
Source: RNAcentral